UUGCUUUCCUGUCAUCAGCGUC
Molecule: non-coding RNA, 22 nt
Filed under: Arabidopsis thaliana (thale cress)
Lineage: Eukaryota; Viridiplantae; Streptophyta; Magnoliopsida; Brassicales; Brassicaceae
Source: RNAcentral